UGCAAGUCGAACGAUGAUCCUCACUUGUGGGGGGAUUAGUGGCGAACGGGUGAGUAACACGUGAGUAACCUGCCCUUAACUCUGGGAUAAGCCUGGGAAACUGGGUCUAAUACCGGAUAUGACUCCUCAUCGCAUGGUGGGGGGUGGAAAGCUUUUUUGGGGUUUUGAAGGGCC
Molecule: ribosomal RNA, 174 nt
Filed under: Pseudarthrobacter sp.
Lineage: Bacteria; Bacillati; Actinomycetota; Actinomycetes; Micrococcales; Micrococcaceae
Description: partial 16S ribosomal RNA
Rfam family: Bacterial small subunit ribosomal RNA
Source: RNAcentral